RNAcentral lists this ribosomal RNA (378 nucleotides) under uncultured eukaryote. Its description in RNAcentral is "partial 18S ribosomal RNA". It matches the Rfam family "Eukaryotic small subunit ribosomal RNA", at positions 592 to 975 of the family's 1831-position model. The record is from RNAcentral.
CAAUAGCGUAUACUAAAGUUGUUGCAGUUAAAAAGCUCGUAGUCGGAAUUCGGAUAUGAGACGCUGGUCCGCCGCAAGGCGAGAACUGGCAAUCUCACAUCCUCCUUCUGGAAAUGUGCAGUGCUCUUCACUGAGUGUUGUACAGGUCCAGAUCGUUUACUUUGAGUAAAUUAGAGUGUUCCAAGCAGGCGUUUGCCUGAAUAGUUUAGCAUGGAAUAAUGGAAUAGGACUUUGGUCUUAUUUCGUUGGUUUUGGAGACCAAAGUAAUGAUUAAUAGGGACAGUUGGGGGCAUUCGUAUUUCAUUGUCAGAGGUGAAAUUCUUGGAUUUAUGAAAGACGAACUUAUGCGAAAGCACUUUGUCAAGGAUGUUUNCAUUG